GCCCAGGUGGUGGAAUUGGCAUACACGCUAGGUUGAGGGCCUAGGCUUCUUAGGAGCGUGCGGGUUCAAGUCCCGCCCUGGGCA
RNAcentral lists this transfer RNA (84 nucleotides) under Candidatus Portnoyibacteriota bacterium. Its description in RNAcentral is "Candidatus Portnoybacteria bacterium tRNA-Leu". It matches the Rfam family "tRNA". From Rfam's summary of the family: Transfer RNA (tRNA) molecules are approximately 80 nucleotides in length. Their secondary structure includes four short double-helical elements and three loops (D, anti-codon, and T loops). The record is from RNAcentral. Lineage: Bacteria; Candidatus Portnoyibacteriota.